Molecule: small RNA, 52 nt
Filed under: Paenibacillus sp. P22
Lineage: Bacteria; Bacillati; Bacillota; Bacilli; Caryophanales; Paenibacillaceae
Source: RNAcentral
AUGAAAUGAAGGAAAGGCCGGGCUGAGCAGCCCGGCCUUUCCUUCGUUCAUG